RNAcentral lists this ribosomal RNA (1135 nucleotides) under uncultured bacterium. RNAcentral describes it as "bacterial SSU rRNA". It matches the Rfam family "Bacterial small subunit ribosomal RNA", at positions 353 to 1482 of the family's 1533-position model. The record is from RNAcentral.
AGCUAAGAAUCUUCCGCAAUGGGCGAAAGCCUGACGGAGCGACGCCGCGUGAACGAAGAAGGCCGUGAGGUUGUAAAGUUCUUUUCUUGGGGAGGAAUAAGCAUGGCAGGGAAUGGCCGUGUGAUGACGUUAACCGAGGAAUAAGCCCCGGCUAAUUACGUGCCAGCAGCCGCGGUAACACGUAAGGGGCGAGCGUUGUUCGGAAUUAUUGGGCGUAAAGGGCGCGUAGGCGGAAAGCCAAGCCUGAUGUGAAAUACCCCGGCUCAACUGGGGAAACGCGUUGGGAACUGGUUUUCUUGAGUAUAAGAGGGGAUGUUGGAAUUCCAGGUGUAGGGGUGAAAUCUGUAGAUAUCUGGAAGAACACCGGUGGCGAAGGCGAACAUCUGGCUAUAUACUGACGCUGAGGCGCGAAAGCGUGGGGAGCGAACAGGAUUAGAUACCCUGGUAGUCCACGCUGUAAACGAUGUACACUAGGAGGUGGGUGGUAGCAUUCAUUUCCGGAGCUAACGCGUUAAGUGUACCGCCUGGGGAGUAUGCUCGCAAGGGUGAAACUCAAAGGAAUUGACGGGGGCCCGCACAAGCGGUGGAGCAUGUGGUUUAAUUCGAUGAUACGCGAGAAACCUUACCAGGACUUGACAUAUACCGGAAUUCUACAGAGAUGUAGGAGCUGCUUGCAGUCGGUAUACAGGUGCUGCAUGGUUGUCGUCAGCUCGUGCUGUGAAGUGUUGGGUUAAGUCCCGCAACGAGCGCAACCCCUGCUAUCUGUUACCAGCACGUGAAGGUGGGGACUCAGAUGGAACUGCCGGUGACAAACCGGAGGAAGGUGGGGACGACGUCAAAUCAUCAUGGCCCUUAUGUCCUGGGCUACACACGUGCUACAAUGGCCGGUACAAAGCGCAGCGAGGCGGCAACGUCAAGCGAAUCGCAAAAAGCCGGUCUCAGUACGGAUUGAAGUCUGAAACUCGACUUCAUGAAGUUGGAAUCGCUAGUAAUCGCGCAUCAGCAUGGCGCGGUGAAUACGUUCCCGGGCCUUGUACACACCGCCCGUCACACCACCCGAGUUGGGGGUACCAGAAGUAGUUGAGCGAACCCUUCGGGGGCGCAGACUACCAAGGUAUGGCUGGUAACUGGGGUG